CGAUUGUGCCAGCAGCCGCGGUAAUACGAAGGGUGCAAGCGUUACUCGGAAUUACUGGGCGUAAAGCGUGCGUAGGUGGUUUGUUAAGUCAGAUGUGAAAGCCCCGGGCUCAACCUGGGAAUUGCAUUUGAUACUGGCAGACUAGAGUGCGGUAGAGGAGAGUGGAAUUCCCGGUGUAGCAGUGAAAUGCGUAGAGAUCGGGAGGAACAUCAGUUGCGAAGGCGGCUCUCUGGACCAGCGCUGACACUGAGGCACGAAAGCGUGGGGAGCAAACAGGAUUAGAUACCCUGGUAGUCCACGCCCUAAACGAUGCGAACUGGACGUUGGGUGCAAUUGAGCAUUCAGUGUCGAAGCUAACGCGUUAAGUUCGCCGCCUGGGGAGUACGGCC
Molecule: ribosomal RNA, 389 nt
Filed under: uncultured bacterium
Lineage: Bacteria
Description: bacterial SSU rRNA
Rfam family: Bacterial small subunit ribosomal RNA
Source: RNAcentral